This 203-nucleotide unclassified non-coding RNA is filed under the name Hevea brasiliensis (rubber tree). The record is from RNAcentral. Lineage: Eukaryota; Viridiplantae; Streptophyta; Magnoliopsida; Malpighiales; Euphorbiaceae.
AUCAAGGACACUUGACUGCAGAUCCAACCUAAUUCGAAGGCAGCGACCCCCGUCAAAACAUCCUUUCAGAAGAAGCUAGAGCUCGUUUGGCCGACUCUCUACAAAAGGCGAAUACCGAAAACUCGCAAUUACAAGAACAAAUAAAACAGUUAGAGGACCAACAGCAGAUCCUCAAAAGAAAAGUAAGAAGGCUCAGGGAAGAG